This is a long non-coding RNA of Saimiri boliviensis boliviensis (Bolivian squirrel monkey), 309 nucleotides long. RefSeq lists it as uncharacterized. The record is from RefSeq and is a predicted model, not a curated record. Lineage: Eukaryota; Metazoa; Chordata; Mammalia; Primates; Cebidae.
CCCUGCAUGUACCUGGUAACACUAGUUUGCUUACACUCCUGUUUCUUAUUUCUUUCUCUUUCUAGGCUCCUGAUACUUCAUGAUCCUCACCAGGAGUCUUGGAAUCAAAUAAACCCCAAGCCCAGAGUGGAGGGACUUGGAAGAGUCAUUUUUUAAAGAAGUCUGGAAGAUAUAAAUAGAAGAUCUUAGAUUUUUCAGGACUGCAAGGAACCUUAUAGAGGGUUCAGUCCUGUUUCAGAUCAGAAGUUCCCCAACCCCAGGCAGUGGACCAGUGCCUGGCAGUGGCCUGCUAGGAACCCGGCCGCAUAG